This 92-nucleotide transfer RNA is filed under the name Tuberaphis sumatrana. RNAcentral describes it as "tRNA-Val". The record is from RNAcentral. Lineage: Eukaryota; Metazoa; Arthropoda; Insecta; Hemiptera; Hormaphididae.
AUAGAUUUAUUUAAUUAAUAAUAAAUAAAUAUCUAAAUUUAAUAAGUAUAUCAUUUACAAUGAUAAGAUGUUUAUAAAACUUUAUUUAAAUU